RNAcentral lists this long non-coding RNA (951 nucleotides) under Helianthus annuus (common sunflower). RNAcentral's name for it is "hypothetical non coding rna". Lineage: Eukaryota; Viridiplantae; Streptophyta; Magnoliopsida; Asterales; Asteraceae. The record is from RNAcentral.
GUAUAGAGUCGGUUUUCAACACUGAGAGGUCACGUAACUCCGUCAUUGUUCCGUCCAUAGAGUUUUAAAUAUCGAUAGUUAGGUUUCUUGAAUCGCCAAAAUAAUUAAAGUUUUUGAUUUAGAAAGAGAAAUGAAGUAGUUGAUGAUGCCCAACCCAUGAUAUCUUCUUCGUUUCCCUCCUACAAACAUCACCACCGAUCAGAUUCAAAAGGUCAUAUCCACCCAGCUAUCGUCUCCCUGCAUUGCCAACGCCAUCUUCUAUCUCUAUUCUUCUCUUUUCUUAGGUUUAUCUUUUCUUUGUAUUUUGUUAUUAUUCAUGUAGGCUUGUGAUCAUUUGAACAAUUUAUAUUUAAAUUAAAGCGUAAAAGUGCUUUGCUAAUAGUUAAUUUUGAAGGUCAUUAUGUUUAAAGAAGAUUACGUGCUUGAUCUAUACCUUUGACAAUGUGUGGAUGAGAAGAAUAAUAUGGUUGAAGUCCAGAUUAAGUUCGAGUGGCUAUAUCUUUAAAGUUCACAUUAGCACUCGAGAAUCUUCAAAGGUGUUUUAUAUUCUGCGAAGGAUUUAAUAAAGCAAACUAUUUUGACGAUGUUAGAGUUGCUUCCGCCGGAUUAGUUCUCCGUUAUGGUCAGAGUUUUGAAACAUCCUCUCGAUUGAUUACUGUCCUCUUCGUUAAUCACGGAUGGCCACAUGUAUGUUGUGCAGUUGAUUGUUAAGGUUUAUAAGGUAUUGGGUUGAAAAAUGGUAAACUAAACAAUCAAGAAGCAAUCAAGUGUUCUUGUGCAAUUGCAGAGGAGGCUAAAUGGAAAGAUGCCUUGAAAACUUAUUGCUGUUUGGGGAAACAGAAAAAAGGUCACAAGUUAAAUGAAUAGAGACAUUUUCAUUUGUAUAUAUUUUGAAUUCAUUUGUAUUUGAAAUUAUUUAUCUAUGAUAUUAUAGAUACAUUUGGUUUCAUU